RNAcentral lists this ribosomal RNA (458 nucleotides) under uncultured bacterium. RNAcentral's name for it is "bacterial SSU rRNA". It matches the Rfam family "Bacterial small subunit ribosomal RNA", at positions 15 to 518 of the family's 1533-position model. The record is from RNAcentral.
GAUCCUGGCUCAGGAUGAACGCUGGCGGCGUGCUUAACACAUGCAAGUCGAACGGACCUCGGGUCAGUGGCGGACGGGUGAGUAACGCGUGGGAACCUGCCCUCAGGAGGGGGGAUAACGGCUGGAAACAACCGCUAAUACCCCAUAUGCCGAGAGGUGAAAUGAGAUUCGCCUGAGGAUGGGCCCGCGUCUGAUUAGCUAGUUGGUGGGGUAAAGGCCUACCAAGGCGACGAUCAGUAGCUGGUCUGAGAGGAUGAUCAGCCACACUGGGACUGAGACACGGCCCAGACUCCUACGGGAGGCAGCAGUGGGGAAUUUUCCGCAAUGGGCGAAAGCCUGAACCGGAGCAACGCCGCGUGAGGGAUGAAGGCCUCUGGGCUGUAAACCUCUUUUCUCAAGGAAGAAGAACUGACGGUACUUGAGGAAUAAGCCACGGCUAAUUCCGUGCCAGCAGCGGC